CGUGUAGGCGGCAAUGCAAGUCGGGCGUGAAAUCCCACGGCUCAACCGUGGAAGUGCACUCGAAACUGCAUAGCUAGAGUCCUGGAGAGGAAGGUGGAAUGCUUGGUGUAGAGGUGAAAUUCGUAGAUAUCAAGCGGAACACCGGUGGCGAAGGCGGCCUUCUGGACAGUGACUGACGCUGAGCGCGAAGCGUGGGAGCAAACA
RNAcentral lists this ribosomal RNA (204 nucleotides) under uncultured bacterium. RNAcentral describes it as "partial 16S ribosomal RNA". It matches the Rfam family "Bacterial small subunit ribosomal RNA", at positions 568 to 774 of the family's 1533-position model. The record is from RNAcentral.